GACGAACGCUGGCGGCCCGUUUAACACAUGCAAGUCGAACGAGCGAGAGAGAGCUUGCUUUCUCGAGCGAGUGGCGAACGGGUGAGUAACGCGUGAGGAACCUGCCUCAAAGAGGGGGACAACAGUUGGAAACGACUGCUAAUACCGCAUAAGCCCACAGCUCGGCAUCGAGCAGAGGGAAAAGGAGUGGUCCGCUUUGAGAUGGCCUCGCGUCCGAUUAGCUAGUUGGUGAGGUAACGGCCCACCAAGGCGACGAUCGGUAGCCGGACUGAGAGGUUGAACGGCCACAUUGGGACUGAGACACGGCCCAGACUCCUACGGGAGGCAGCAGUGGGGAAUAUUGCACAAUGGGGGAAACCCUGAUGCAGCGACGCCGCGUGGAGGAAGAAGGUCUUCGGAUUGUAAACUCCUGUUGUUGAGGAAGAUAAUGACGGUACUCAACAAGGAAGUGACGGCUAACUACGUGCCAGCAGCCGCGGUAAAACGUAGGUCACAAGCGUUGUCCGGAAUUACUGGGUGUAAAGGGAGCGCAGGCGGGAAAGCAAGUUGGAAGUGAAAUCCAUGGGCUCAACCCAUGAACUGCUUUCAAAACUGUUUUUCUUGAGUAGUGCAGAGGUAGGCGGAAUUCCCGGUGUAGCGGUGGAAUGCGUAGAUAUCGGGAGGAACACCAGUGGCGAAGGCGGCCUACUGGGCACCAACUGACGCUGAGGCUCGAAAGUGUGGGUAGCAAACA
Molecule: ribosomal RNA, 733 nt
Filed under: uncultured bacterium
Lineage: Bacteria
Description: bacterial SSU rRNA
Rfam family: Bacterial small subunit ribosomal RNA
Source: RNAcentral